RNAcentral lists this ribosomal RNA (453 nucleotides) under uncultured Sphingomonadaceae bacterium. RNAcentral's name for it is "bacterial SSU rRNA". It matches the Rfam family "Bacterial small subunit ribosomal RNA", at positions 8 to 507 of the family's 1533-position model. The record is from RNAcentral. Lineage: Bacteria; Pseudomonadati; Pseudomonadota; Alphaproteobacteria; Sphingomonadales; Sphingomonadaceae.
AGAGUUUGAUCCUGGCUCAGAACGAACGCUGGCGGCAUGCCUAACACAUGCAAGUCGGACGAGACCUUCGGGUCUAGUGGCGCACGGGUGCGUAACGCGUGGGAAUCUGCCCUUAGGUACGGAAUAACUCAGGGAAACUUGUGCUAAUACCGUAUGAUGUCGCAAGACCAAAGAUUUAUCGCCUAGGGAUGAGCCCGCGUUGGAUUAGCUAGUUGGUGGGGUAAAGGCCUACCAAGGCUACGAUCCAUAGCUGGUCUGAGAGGAUGAUCAGCCACACUGGGACUGAGACACGGCCCAGACUCCUACGGGAGGCAGCAGUGGGGAAUAUUGGACAAUGGGCGAAAGCCUGAUCCAGCAAUGCCGCGUGAGUGAAGAAGGCCUUCGGGUUGUAAAGCUCUUUUACCCGGGAAGAUAAUGACUGUACCGGGAGAAUAAGCCCCGGCUAACUCCGUG